RNAcentral lists this ribosomal RNA (164 nucleotides) under Trigonella foenum-graecum. Its description in RNAcentral is "5.8S ribosomal RNA". It matches the Rfam family "5.8S ribosomal RNA". Rfam says of the family: 5.8S ribosomal RNA (5.8S rRNA) is a component of the large subunit of the eukaryotic ribosome. It is transcribed by RNA polymerase I as part of the 45S precursor that also contains 18S and 28S rRNA. Lineage: Eukaryota; Viridiplantae; Streptophyta; Magnoliopsida; Fabales; Fabaceae. The record is from RNAcentral.
AGAAUGACUCUCGGCAAAGGAUAUCUAGGCUCUUGCAUCGAUGAAGAACGUAGCGAAAUGCGAUACUUGGUGUGAAUUGCAGAAUCCCGUGAACCAUCGAGUCUUUGAACGCAAGUUGCGCCCGAUGCCAUUAGGUUGAGGGCACGUCUGCCUGGGUGUCACAU